AACAAAGAGAUGUAGAAUAAUUGGUUGAACCUCCAAGCUAGAGUAAAUAAUGGACCAAAUAAGUUUAUGAGAGUGACUUUCCUCCUAACAUUCAGGUGAAACAGCGUGUUAUAUCAAGAUGGGUCUUCUGUUUGAGUUUCUUAUGUAAUAAUAUUAAAAUUACUUAACAGAUUUCACUUCAUUAAGAAACUGCAAUCAUGAAAGAAAACACUAGAUGGCUGGGUGGUUCUACAGGCUAUACGGAAACCAUAAACAAUCUCAACAAAAACUGAAGACCAGUUGCAAUUCUGGAAAGUAAAAGACGCAAUCAACCCCAUUAAAAUUGAAGACCAAACGCAAUUCUGGAAAAAAUAAGUGGGAAAAUUGAAAUGGGUAUGAAUCGUCCAAACAAUCGCUUGUACCGUAACUUCAUAGCCGGAGAUGAAUCUUGGUCGGGUGGCGGGUGGGUGGGUUCUAUUUUGG
This 462-nucleotide long non-coding RNA is filed under the name Olea europaea (common olive). Its description in RNAcentral is "long non-coding RNA (OEUR_LNC011975)". Lineage: Eukaryota; Viridiplantae; Streptophyta; Magnoliopsida; Lamiales; Oleaceae. The record is from RNAcentral.